AGAAGUUGCAAAAGCAGAGAUGGCACCA
RNAcentral lists this non-coding RNA (28 nucleotides) under Homo sapiens (human). The record is from RNAcentral. Lineage: Eukaryota; Metazoa; Chordata; Mammalia; Primates; Hominidae.